Molecule: long non-coding RNA, 235 nt
Organism: Quercus robur (English oak)
Lineage: Eukaryota; Viridiplantae; Streptophyta; Magnoliopsida; Fagales; Fagaceae
Exons: 2
Source: RefSeq, a predicted model, not a curated record
CAAAAUUUUCCAGUUGCAACAAUGUGGGGAAACAAAUGUAAUUGCAGACAACAAUGUUGAAAGCAUGAAACAUCCUGUUUCUUUGAGCUGCAGUUAGAAUACAAAUUGAUAAUUUUUUCGGAAGGCAUUGACUUAGGUAUCCUUCUUAGGAGUGGAGGAGUCCUUUAGCAAAUAGAAGUAGUUCUUUGACAAUAUUUAUGAUCAGCCGAAAAAAAAAAAAAAAAAAAGAGAAGAA